RNAcentral lists this ribosomal RNA (453 nucleotides) under uncultured bacterium. Its description in RNAcentral is "bacterial SSU rRNA". It matches the Rfam family "Bacterial small subunit ribosomal RNA", at positions 328 to 795 of the family's 1533-position model. The record is from RNAcentral.
CCACCAGACUCCUACGGGAGGCAGCAGUAGGGAAUCUUUCACAAUGGGCGAAAGCCUGAUGGAGCAACGCCGCGUGCAGGAUGAAGGCCUUCGGGUUGUAAACUUCUUUUCUCAGGGACGAAGCAAGUGACGGUACCUGAGGAAUAAGCCACGGCUAACUACGUGCCAGCAGCCGCGGUAAUACGUAGGUGGCAAGCGUUAUCCGGAUUUACUGGGUGUAAAGGGCGUGUAGGCGGGAAAGCAAGUCAGAUGUGAAAACCAUGGGCUCAACCUGUGGCCUGCAUUUGAAACUGUUUUUCUUGAGUACUGGAGAGGCAGACGGAAUUCCUAGUGUAGCGGUGAAAUGCGUAGAUAUUAGGAGGAACACCAGUGGCGAAGGCGGUCUGCUGGACAGCAACUGACGCUGAGGCGCGAAAGCGUGGGGAGCAAACAGGAUUAGAUACCCCUGUAGCA